GAUGAAGAACGUAGCGAAAUGCGAUACUUGGUGUGAAUUGCAGAAUCCCGUGAACCAUCGAGUCUUUGAACGCAAGUUGCGCCCGAAGCCAUUAGGCCGAGGGCACGCCUGCCUGGGCGUCACACGUCGUUGCCCCCCCAUCUACUCCUUCGGGAUUGCGGGGGGCGGAUGAUGGCCUCCCGUGCGCCUCGCCGCGCGGUUGGCAUAAAUGCCAAGUCCUCGGCGACGCACGCCACGACAAUCGGUGGUUGCGAAACCUCGGUUGCCCGUCGUGUGCGGUCGUCGCGCAUCGAGGGCUCGAAAAAAUUGCCGGGUUCCGGCUCGGCUUUCAACGCGACCCCAGGUCAGGCGGGGUUAUCCGCUGAAUUUAAGCAUAUCAAUAAGCGGAGGA
This 391-nucleotide unclassified non-coding RNA is filed under the name soil metagenome. Its description in RNAcentral is "partial contains 5.8S ribosomal RNA, internal transcribed spacer 2, and large subunit ribosomal RNA". The stretch from base 1 to 122 matches the Rfam family "5.8S ribosomal RNA", at positions 35 to 154 of the family's 154-position model. The record is from RNAcentral.